AAUAGAUACCCGGGUAGUCCACCCGUAACGUUGGAACUAGUUGUGGGUCCAUUCCACGGAUUCCGUGACGCAGCUAACGCAUUAAGUUCCCCGCCUGGGGAGUACGGCCGCAAGGCUAAAACUCAAAGGAAUUGACGGGGACCCGCACAAGCGGCGGAGCAUGCGGAUUAAUUCGAUGCAACGCGAAGAACCUUACCAAGGCUUGACAUACACGAGAACACCCUGGAAACAGGGGACUCUUUGGACACUCGUGAACAGGUGGUGCAUGGUUGUCGUCAGCUCGUGUCGUGAGAUGUUGGGUUAAGUCCCGCAACGAGCGCAACCCUCGUUCUAUGUUGCCAGCACGUAAUGGUGGGAACUCAUGGGAUACUGCCGGGGUCAACUCGGAGGAAGGUGGGGAUGACGUCAAAUCAUCAUGCCCCUUAUGUCUUGGGCUUCACGCAUGCUACAAUGGCCGGUACAAAGGGCUGCAAUACCGUGAGGUGGAGCGAAUCCCAAAAAGCCGGUCCCAGUUCGGAUUGAGGUCUGCAACUCGACCUCA
RNAcentral lists this ribosomal RNA (541 nucleotides) under uncultured bacterium. Its description in RNAcentral is "bacterial SSU rRNA". It matches the Rfam family "Bacterial small subunit ribosomal RNA", at positions 777 to 1320 of the family's 1533-position model. The record is from RNAcentral.